AGAUCAUUUUUUCAAUCUUCAAGCACUGGUGGAUUCGUAAUGCAUGACCUGGUGAACGAUCUAGCACAAGUGGUUGCUGGAGAUACAUAUUUCAGAUUGGAGGAAAAGUCAAGUAAGAAAGAAAAAGCUCGCUACUCUUCUUACAUCCCCUGCAGGUUUGAUCGCCGUGAAAGAUUUGAGCCAUUUGAAAGGAUCAAGCAUAUGCGAACCUUCUUGCCCCUAUCACCGUACGAUGAAUAUAUGAGAUUCUACUUAGCAAAAUGCGUUCCUUCUUAUUUGUUAUCAAAGUUACAAUGCUUAAGGGUGUUGUCCUUCAAAUAUUAUAAUAUCACUGAGCUACCUGAUUCAAUAGGCGACUUGAAGCAUCUAAGGUAUCUC
RNAcentral lists this unclassified non-coding RNA (378 nucleotides) under Hevea brasiliensis (rubber tree). The record is from RNAcentral. Lineage: Eukaryota; Viridiplantae; Streptophyta; Magnoliopsida; Malpighiales; Euphorbiaceae.